CCUACGGGCGUCAGCAGUGGGGAAUAUUGCACAAUGGGGGAAACCCUGAUGCAGCGACGCCGCGUGAGUGAAGAAGUAACUCGUUAUGUAAAGUUCUAUCAUCAGGGACGAAAAUGACGGUACCUGAGUAAGAAGCCCCGGCUAACUACGGGCCAGCAGCCGCGGUAAUACGGAGGGGGCAAGCGUUAUCCGGAUUUAUUGGGUGGAAAGGGAGCGUAGACGGCAGUGCAAGUCUGGAGUGAAAGGCGCGGGCUCAACCCUAGAACUGCUCUGGAAACUGUACGGCUGGAGUGCAGGAGAGGUAAGUGGAAUUCCUAGUGUAGCGGUGAAAUGCGUAGAUAUUAGGAGGAACACCAGUGGCGAAGGCGGCUUACUGGACUGUAACUGACGUUGAGGCUCGAAAGCGUGGGGAGCAAACAGGAUUAGAUACCCCGGUAGUC
Molecule: ribosomal RNA, 440 nt
Filed under: uncultured bacterium
Lineage: Bacteria
Description: partial 16S ribosomal RNA
Rfam family: Bacterial small subunit ribosomal RNA
Source: RNAcentral